GUUACAGGCUUAACACAUGCAAGUCGAGGGGCAGCAUGGUCUUAGCUUGCUAAGGCCGAUGGCGACCGGCGCACGGGUGAGUAACACGUAUCCAACCUGCCGUCUACUCUUGGACAGCCUUCUGAAAGGAAGAUUAAUACAAGAUGGCAUCAUGAGUCCGCAUGUUCACAUGAUUAAAGGUAUUCCGGUAGACGAUGGGGAUGCGUUCCAUUAGAUAGUAGGCGGGGUAACGGCCCACCUAGUCUUCGAUGGAUAGGGGUUCUGAGAGGAAGGUCCCCCACAUUGGAACUGAGACACGGUCCAAACUCCUACGGGAGGCAGCAGUGAGGAAUAUUGGUCAAUGGGCGAGAGCCUGAACCAGCCAAGUAGCGUGAAGGAUGACUGCCCUAUGGGUUGUAAACCUCUUUUAUAAAGGAAUAAAGUCGGGUAUGGAUACCCGUUUGCAUGUACUUUAUGAAUAAGGAUCGGCUAACUCCGUGCCAGCAGCCGCGGUAAUACGGAGGAUCCGAGCGUUAUCCGGAUUUAUUGGGUUUAAAGGGAGCGUAGAUGGAUGUUUAAGUCAGUUGUGAAAGUUUGCGGCUCAACCGUAAAAUUGCAGUUGAUACUGGAUAUCUUGAGUGCAGUUGAGGCAGGCGGAAUUCGUGGUGUAGCGGUGAAAUGCUUAGAUAUCACGAAGAACUCCGAUUGCGAAGGCAGCCUGCUAAGCUGCAACUGACAUUGAGGCUCGAAAGUGUGGGUAUCAAACAGGAUUAGAUACCCUGGUAGUCCACACGGUAAACGAUGAAUACUCGCUGUUUGCGAUAUACUGCAAGCGGCCAAGCGAAAGCGUUAAGUAUUCCACCUGGGGAGUACGCCGGCAACGGUGAAACUCAAAGGAAUUGACGGGGGCCCGCACAAGCGGAGGAACAUGUGGUUUAAUUCGAUGAUACGCGAGGAACCUUACCCGGGCUUAAAUUGCAGAUGAAUUACGGUGAAAGCCGUAAGCCGCAAGGCAUCUGUGAAGGUGCUGCAUGGUUGUCGUCAGCUCGUGCCGUGAGGUGUCGGCUUAAGUGCCAUAACGAGCGCAACCCUUGUUGUCAGUUACUAACAGGUUCCGCUGAGGACUCUGACAAGACUGCCAUCGUAAGAUGUGAGGAAGGUGGGGAUGACGUCAAAUCGGCACGGCCCUUACGUCCGGGGCUACACACGUGUUACAAUGGGGGGUACAGAGGGCCGCUACCACGCGAGUGGAUGCCAAUCCCCAAAACCUCUCUCAGUUCGGACUGGAGUCUGCAACCCGACUCCACGAAGCUGGAUUCGCUAGUAAUCGCGCAUCAGCCACGGCGCGGUGAAUACGUUCCCGGGCCUUGUACACACCGCCCGUCAAGCCAUGGGAGCCGGGGGUACCUGAAGUGCGUAACCGCGAGGAGCGCCCUAGGGUAAAACUGGUGACUGGGGC
RNAcentral lists this ribosomal RNA (1438 nucleotides) under uncultured organism. Its description in RNAcentral is "SSU rRNA". It matches the Rfam family "Bacterial small subunit ribosomal RNA". The record is from RNAcentral.